This 72-nucleotide transfer RNA is filed under the name Candidatus Wolfebacteria bacterium CG_4_10_14_0_2_um_filter_39_18. Its description in RNAcentral is "tRNA-Asn". It matches the Rfam family "tRNA". From Rfam's summary of the family: Transfer RNA (tRNA) molecules are approximately 80 nucleotides in length. Their secondary structure includes four short double-helical elements and three loops (D, anti-codon, and T loops). Lineage: Bacteria; Candidatus Wolfeibacteriota. RNAcentral also lists the same sequence under 1 other name. The record is from RNAcentral.
UCCGCGGUAGCUCAAUGGCAGAGCAGCUCGCUGUUAACGAGACGGUUGUAGGUUCGACUCCUACCCGCGGAG